RNAcentral lists this ribosomal RNA (439 nucleotides) under uncultured Sphingobacteriales bacterium. RNAcentral's name for it is "bacterial SSU rRNA". It matches the Rfam family "Bacterial small subunit ribosomal RNA", at positions 940 to 1382 of the family's 1533-position model. Lineage: Bacteria; Pseudomonadati; Bacteroidota; Sphingobacteriia; Sphingobacteriales. The record is from RNAcentral.
UGUGGUUUAAUUCGAUGAUACGCGAGGAACCUUACCUGGGCUCAAAUGUAUGUUGACGUAUUCUGAAAGGGAUACUUCUUCGGACAAUAUACAAGGUGCUGCAUGGUUGUCGUCAGCUCGUGCCGUGAGGUGUCGGGUUAAGUCCCAUAACGAGCGCAACCCCUAUCAUUAGUUGCCAUCAGGUCAAGCUGGGGACUCUAAUGAAACUGCCUACGCAAGUAGUGAGGAAGUGGGGAUGACGUCAAAUCAGCACGGCCCUUACGUCCAGGGCUACACACGUGCUACAAUGGCCGGUACAAAGGGCAGCUACCUGGUGACAGGAUGCUAAUCUCAAAAGCCGGUCUCAGUUCGGAUCGGAGUCUGCAACCCGACUCCGCGAAGCUGGAAUCGCUAGUAAUCGCGCAUCAGCCAUGGCGCGGUGAAUACGUUCCCGGGCCUU